This 337-nucleotide ribosomal RNA is filed under the name Jaguajir agamemnon. Its description in RNAcentral is "partial 12S ribosomal RNA". The record is from RNAcentral. Lineage: Eukaryota; Metazoa; Arthropoda; Arachnida; Scorpiones; Buthidae.
UGAAUAGUAAUAAAAUUAGGUAGUAAAAGAAGACUUGAAACUUAAAAGAUUUGGCGGUAUUUUAAACUAAUUAGAGGAAUCUGUUCUGUUAAAUCGACAAUACUCGUAAAAUCUUACUUUAAUUUCAGCUUGUAUAUCGUCGUCAUAAUAAUAUUUAUUAAUAAUUAUUUUGGGUAAUUUUAUUUUUGAUGUCAGAUCAAGGUUCAGUUUAUGUUAAAGAUAAGAAUGGAUUACAAUAUAUUAAUAUUUAUGGAUUCUAUUUUGAAAGGGUAGAUGAAAGUGGAUUUAAAAGUAUUAAAGAAGGAAUGUGUUUUUUUGAAUAAGCUCUAGAAUAUGC